This is a long non-coding RNA of Monodelphis domestica (gray short-tailed opossum), 1558 nucleotides long. Lineage: Eukaryota; Metazoa; Chordata; Mammalia; Didelphimorphia; Didelphidae. The record is from Ensembl.
AGCAACUAUAUUGCUCUUAUUACUGCUAAACUCGACCAUUUUUGAUAAACCUCAACUGCUUAUCAGCUAUUGUCUGGAAAGACCCUUCCUUAGAGGAGCUGGGCAACCAGGUAGCAAAGUGGAUAAAGUGCCAGGCCUGAAGUCAGAAAGAUUCAACUUCCUGAGUUCAAAUCUGGCCUUAAAUACUGACUGACUUUGUGACCCUAGGCAAGUUAUUUAACCUUACUGCCUCAAUUUUCUCAUCUGUAAAAUGAGCUGGAGAAGGAAAUGGCAAACCACUCCAGUAUUUUUGCCAAGAAAACCCCAAAUGGGGUUACACAGUCAGGUACAUCUGAAAUUACUGAACAACAAAUGGGAGCCAGGUGCUUAGUGGAUAGGCACUGAACUUGAAGUCAAAAAGAUCUGAGUUCUAAUCAACCCUCAAAUAUUUACUAGCUAUGAGACUUAACCUCUUUAGGUUCAGUUUCCUUAUUUGUAAAAUGAGGAUAAUAACAACACCUACCUCACAGCAUUGUUGUGACAAAUGAGGUGAUAUAUGCAAAGAGACCAAAGUUAUCACUCACUUUGAGGUUUCAGCUAAUUCAGUCCUGGGCUGAAUGAAGAUAAGUAUAGUGUUCAAAACUAGGGAAAUGCUUGUCUUAUGUACUCUCUUUCUUGGACAGGCAAGAAUAAUACUAUUACUGUACAUCUAUUUUUGGAAAAAAACAUUUCAGAAAACAUCUGUAAACUGGAGAACCUCCAUAAGAUGUCAAGUAAGAUGGCGAGGGUCCUUAGUUCAUGAGAUAAUUUGGAGAGCUCAUUGUAUAGAGUGUUGGACCCGAGUCAAGAAAACAACCAGGGGAUAACUCGGGGAGCGGAUCUAGUACUGUUGUUCAUCACUCCACAUCCAAUGUGUUCCUCCCAAAGAAGGGGUUUAAACCAGAUGAUGCCCAAUAUUCCUUCCACUUCCAAUCUAUUCUUCUAUGAGUUUUUAAGCUGUGAGUCUGUGAGAAAGGUGUGGCCAGAAAACAAAUCUAACAAUUGAAAGAAAAAAGUUACGUCAACGUCAACUGUGCUUACUCUAGUAAGCUGUUUUCAAAAUUGACUGGCAUCUUCUUCCUGAACUGUAUUCCAACUGGCAAGUGCAAUGCAGAUGGCUUCCUGUUAGACUGCAAUGGGAUGUGUGCAAAAUUUGUAUCUUUAGAAGGUCAUUUCAUCUGCUGUCGGGUUGUAUAAGCGCAGUGAGGCAUUGAGAGAAAACAUGGGCAAGGGUUUGAGAUCACUUCUGUCUAGCAUGCACAUUCUUCGGAAUUUCGCCCAAAGUUUUCAUAAAAUGAAGCUGCACUUUUUAUGCUCAUAAAAGGAAAAAUCAGAGGACUUUUGUUCUCUAAAAGUUGAAGAGGGGGAGGUGGGGGUUUUUUCCACUCUGAUGAAAGACUUUUUCCCCCCCUACUACAACUCUGCAUUUAUGUAUCAUGGAAAUCAGUCUCAUCACUAGUAUUCCUGAAUUCUUUUAUUGUACCUGUGCCUCCACACACCAUUCCUCCAUCAAUUGAUUAAAAAAAAUACUGACUCCCAC